This 465-nucleotide ribosomal RNA is filed under the name Triticum aestivum (bread wheat). Its description in RNAcentral is "partial small subunit ribosomal RNA". The record is from RNAcentral. Lineage: Eukaryota; Viridiplantae; Streptophyta; Magnoliopsida; Poales; Poaceae.
AUGUUCUUCGAUAUGCCAUACAUGACACAAUGGCUGACACAUAUCUUCAAUAAAACAACACACCAUGAGAUCAGUUAUCGUGGUAGGGUAUGUGGCUGGCUGGACUCGCCUAUUCUAGAUGGAUGCCAGGGUGACUGCGCAUACAACGAUGUCAUCAGUUGGGCAAACGACGUUGAGGACGAAUCACAGUGGAGGCAAGCUCUCACGCGGAGGCGGGCUCAUGUGGCGGGCAGGCUCUCGCGCGGCAGCGGGUGCAAUAGAUGCGGGUUCGCGUGGCAGAGGCCUCAGCUGAAGCCGGUUAGCGCGGCGACGACAGGCUCACGUGGUAGCGGCCUCGGCAGAUGUGGGCUCGCGUGGCGGAGGCCUCAGCUGAAGCCAGUUCGAGCGGCGACGGUAGGCUCGCGUGGUAGUGGCCACGACAGAUGUGGGCUCGCGUGGCGGAGGCCUCAGCUGAAGCCAGUUUGA